CAGCCAACUCCAUCAUUCCCUCUUCAUGCUGUGACUGGGAAUACUGGAUAUGAAUUUACAUGCUCACAUGCAGGCUCUAUUCUCCAUCUGCCAGCGUGUUCUGCAGCACUGCAGAGGCCAGCAUCACAGACUCAGCACACAAUGUGCCUUCAGAAAUGGAGGACUGAGACAUGCCGAAACAUCUUACACUGAAGCCGUCCCUAAAGUGCUGACCUGCUGUCCAGCCUUGGCCCUGGAGGAGCAGGGAAAGAACAGACCUUUGAAGUGAAACGGAUCUCCAUCAGCCUCAGUGCUUUCACAAAGUAGCAGCUCAAAUCUCUUGAGAUGGAAAGAGACAGCAGCAAAGACAUCCUACAGUUUCUGACUGCAGGCCAUUGUACAGCACAGUAGAAGCCUGAUGUAUACAACACGAGGCACACACACUAAAGGAUUCACCAGACGGUUAAUAUGGUAAAGUAUUAGUUUUUGACUAAAGGGUUACUUAGAACUUUUCUUUUAGUACACUCUUUAAGCAAUAACAUUUCCAAAUAGUGACACUUAAA
This is a long non-coding RNA of Perca fluviatilis (European perch), 542 nucleotides long. RefSeq lists it as uncharacterized. The transcript has 5 exons. Lineage: Eukaryota; Metazoa; Chordata; Actinopteri; Perciformes; Percidae. The record is from RefSeq and is a predicted model, not a curated record.